Molecule: long non-coding RNA, 551 nt
Organism: Piliocolobus tephrosceles (Ugandan red Colobus)
Lineage: Eukaryota; Metazoa; Chordata; Mammalia; Primates; Cercopithecidae
Exons: 3
Source: RefSeq, a predicted model, not a curated record
GCCACACAGGAGGCCACCAGCAGAGCCCAGAGUAGUAACUGGGUUUCUUCACUCUUAGCCUCUCAAGUGAUGAGACCAAGGCAUGAUCUUAUCUCUUGAUUGUGGCCACCAGUAAAGAAAAGCAUAUCUCUAAUCUCAGAAGCACAAGGAGUUCAUACAGGAAGCCAAGAUUAGAGCAUCAUGCUAUCAUCUUUCAAAAUUACUAUGUAGGAUCGGUGGAACACUGGACACUGACGGAGUGGGCCCUGAAUCCUUCACUGCUUCCUCAUGGCAGGAUCUCCAGGAAGGGGGCCCUCUUUGCUUGUCUCCUCCCUUUGUGGCGAAUAUGGGUGGGGGAUGGAUCUGGGCAUGCUCAGAUCAGCCCCUCCCUUGCUCUUCUCUCUUUGGAUCUUGCUCGCAAUGAGAGGGCUUUUUCUUCCUGUUUUUUGGAGGGUGGGAUCUGCGUGGAGCUGUUCAAUGCUGCCUGUGACUGGGUGUUAGUAUGCUUAGCUCAAGGUGAAGAAUAAGCCAGCUCAUGAGGCCCAGCAGUACAUCCCCUUUCUCCUCUGAGU